This 497-nucleotide ribosomal RNA is filed under the name uncultured bacterium. RNAcentral describes it as "partial 16S ribosomal RNA". It matches the Rfam family "Bacterial small subunit ribosomal RNA", at positions 28 to 507 of the family's 1533-position model. The record is from RNAcentral.
GAUGAACGCUGGCGGCGUGCCUAAUACAUGCAAGUCGAGCGAACAGACGAGGAGCUUGCUCCUCUGACGUUAGCGGCGGACGGGUGAGUAACACGUGGAUAACCUACCUAUAAGACUGGGAUAACUUCGGGAAACCGGAGCUAAUACCGGAUAAUAUAUUGAACCGCAUGGUUCAAUAGUGAAAGACGGUUUUGCUGUCACUUAUAGAUGGAUCCGCGCCGCAUUAGCUAGUUGGUAAGGUAACGGCUUACCAAGGCGACGAUGCGUAGCCGACCUGAGAGGGUGAUCGGCCACACUGGAACUGAGGCACGGUCCAGACUCCUACGGGAGGCAGCAGUAGGGAAUCUUCCGCAAUGGGCGAAAGCCUGACGGAGCAACGCCGCGUGAGUGAUGAAGGUCUUCGGAUCGUAAAACUCUGUUAUUAGGGAAGAACAAAUGUGUAAGUAACUAUGCACGUCUUGACGGUACCUAAUCAGAAAGCCAUGGCUAACUACGUG